RNAcentral lists this ribosomal RNA (459 nucleotides) under uncultured bacterium. RNAcentral describes it as "partial 16S ribosomal RNA". It matches the Rfam family "Bacterial small subunit ribosomal RNA", at positions 338 to 795 of the family's 1533-position model. The record is from RNAcentral.
CCUACGGGUGGCAGCAGUGAGGAAUAUUGGUCAAUGGGAGAGAUCCUGAACCAGCCAAGCCGCGUGAGGGAAGACGGCCCUAUGGGUUGUAAACCUCUUUUGUCGGAGAACAAAACCCGGGACGAGUACCGGACUGCGUGUAUCCGAAGAAAACGCAUCGGCUAACUCCGUGCCAGCAGCCGCGGUAAUACGGGGGAUGCGAGAGUUAUCCGGAUUUAUUGGGUUUAAAGGGUGCGUGGGCGGUCUGGUAAGUCAGCGGUAAAAUUGCGGGGCUCAACCCCGGCGAGCCGUUGAAACUGGCAGACUGGAGUUGGCGAGAGGGAAGCGGAAUGCGCGGUGUAGCGGUGAAAUGCAUAGAGAUCGAGAAGAACUCUGGUUGCGAAGGCAGCGUACCGGCGCCAGACUGACGCUGAGGCACGAAAGCGUGGGGAGCGAACAGGAUUAGAUACCCCAGUAGUC